UGGGCCUCAUUCAAUCAGUUGAAUUCUUCAAGAGAGAAAAACUGAAGUCCCUUAGAAGGAAAGAGUUCUGCCUUCAGACUGUCUUUGAACUUAAGACUGUAGCGUCGACUCCUGCCGGAAUUUCCAGCCUGCUGGCCAGCUCUGCAGAUUCACACUUGCCAGCCUCCACAAUCCAGGAAGGCAGCCAUCUGUGAGCCAGAAAGUGAGCCCUCACCUGAUGGCCAAGCCUGCUGAUGCUUUGGUUUUGGACUUUCCAGCCUCCAGAAUGGCAGCUGAGGCGGAGGAACCCUAAGGGCUCAUUGAGAUCAUGGAUUUGCCCUUCUAUGCAUUGAUGGAGCACCUGCUGCCCACAGCGUCUGUAUUUGGUGCUGGGAUGCUGAGGACACUGAGAUCUUCAAACAGAGGCUGCCACUCUAAGCAAACAGAUCCCGAGCCCUGGACUCUGAAGCUUGGGCCCAGUUCUCCUUUUCUCCGGGUUUCAGAUCCCACUGUGAAGUGAGGGGGCCCUUCUGAUUCAGGACCCGGGGAAGCCAGGGGCAUGAGCAUCGGUGCCUCUUCUCUAUUUCAAGGACCCUUCUGGGUGUAAAGUUCUCUGAGAUGCCUUACAUGGAUUCCCACCACUGCAAGAUAACCAUCGUAUGUAAAGUGUUAUGACCAGCAGAGCGUAAUUGAAGUGCAUUCCAGAGGGAAAGACAGCGGCUCAGAUUCUAUUGAAAGAAACAUGACAUAAUGAUACCACAGCAAAAGCCAAUCUUGCUCCUUUUUAAAAAAUUAAAAACAAAACAAAA
This 788-nucleotide long non-coding RNA is filed under the name Homo sapiens (human). RNAcentral describes it as "epigenetically induced MYC interacting lncRNA 1". Lineage: Eukaryota; Metazoa; Chordata; Mammalia; Primates; Hominidae. The record is from RNAcentral.